UUGAACGCUGGCGGAAUGCUUUACACAUGCAAGUCGAGCGGCAGCGCGGGGGCAACCCUGGCGGCGAGCGGCGAACGGGUGAGUAAUACAUCGGAACGUACCCAGUUGUGGGGGAUAGCCCGGCGAAAGCCGGAUUAAUACCGCAUACGCCCUGAGGGGGAAAGCGGGGGACCUUCGGGCCUCGCGCGAUUGGAGCGGCUGAUGUCGGAUUAGCUGGUUGGUGGGGUAAAGGCCUACCAAGGCGACGAUCCGUAGCUGGUCUGAGAGGAUGAUCAGCCACACUGGGACUGAGACACGGCCCAGACUCCUACGGGAGGCAGCAGUGGGGAAUUUUGGACAAUGGGGGAAACCCUGAUCCAGCCAUUCCGCGUGAGUGAAGAAGGCCUUCGGGUUGUAAAGCUCUUUCAGGAGGGAAGAAACGGUUGCGGCUAAUACCCGCGACUAAUGACGGUACCUUCAGAAGAAGCACCGGCUAACUACGU
Molecule: ribosomal RNA, 482 nt
Filed under: uncultured bacterium
Lineage: Bacteria
Description: bacterial SSU rRNA
Rfam family: Bacterial small subunit ribosomal RNA
Source: RNAcentral